AUUGAACGCUGGCGGCAUGCUUUACACAUGCAAGUCGAACGGCAGCGCGGGCUUCGGCCUGGCGGCGAGUGGCGAACGGGUGAGUAAUACAUCGGAACGUGCCCAGUAGUGGGGGAUAGCUCGGCGAAAGCCGGAUUAAUACCGCAUACGACCUGAGGGUGAAAGCGGGGGAUCUUCGGACCUCGCGCUAUUGGAGCGGCCGAUGGCAGAUUAGCUAGUUGGUGGGGUAAAGGCCUACCAAGGCGACGAUCUGUAGCUGGUCUGAGAGGACGACCAGCCACACUGGGACUGAGACACGGUCCAGACUCCUACGGGAGGCAGCAGUGGGGAAUUUUGGACAAUGGGCGAAAGCCUGAUCCAGCAAUGCCGCGUGUGUGAUGAAGGCCUUCGGGUUGUAAAGCACCUUUGGCGGGAACGAAAAGGACUGUGCCAAUACCACGGUUCGAUGACGGUACCCGCAGAAUAAGCACCGGCUAACUACGUG
This 484-nucleotide ribosomal RNA is filed under the name uncultured bacterium. RNAcentral's name for it is "partial 16S ribosomal RNA". It matches the Rfam family "Bacterial small subunit ribosomal RNA", at positions 29 to 507 of the family's 1533-position model. The record is from RNAcentral.